This 483-nucleotide ribosomal RNA is filed under the name uncultured bacterium. RNAcentral describes it as "partial 16S ribosomal RNA". It matches the Rfam family "Bacterial small subunit ribosomal RNA", at positions 28 to 523 of the family's 1533-position model. The record is from RNAcentral.
GAUGAACGCUGGCGGCGUGCCUAACACAUGCAAGUCGAACGGUUAAGGCGGCUUCGGCCGCGAAUAAAGUGGCGAACGGGUGAGUAACGCGUGAGCAACCUGACCUUCAGAGGGGGAUAACACUUGGAAACAGGUGCUAAUACCGCAUAAGACCACGACCUGACAUCAGGAUGAGGUCAAAGGAGCAAUCCGCUGAGGGAGGGGCUCGCGUCCCAUUAGAUAGAUGGCGGGGUAACGGCCCACCAUGUCGACGAUGGGUAGCCGAGCUGAGAGGCUGAUCGGCCACACUGGAACUGAGACACGGUCCAGACUCCUACGGGAGGCAGCAGUGGGGAAUAUUGGGCAAUGGGCGCAAGCCUGACCCAGCAACGCCGCGUGAGGGAAGAAGGCCUUCGGGUUGUAAACCUCUGUCCUUGGUGACGAAACAAAUGACGGUAGCCAAGGAGGAAGCCCCGGCUAACUACGUGCCAGCCGCCGCGGUAA